Molecule: long non-coding RNA, 224 nt
Organism: Oncorhynchus masou masou (cherry salmon)
Lineage: Eukaryota; Metazoa; Chordata; Actinopteri; Salmoniformes; Salmonidae
Exons: 3
Source: RefSeq, a predicted model, not a curated record
ACACACAAAUUACCCCUACACACAGCGACCGACCCGAUAUCGAGACACGAGGAAGACGCCAUCAUCACCGAGACCUUGGGUGAAGCCUCUCUCUGAUGGGUAUCCAGUCCACCCAGUCAUCCCUUCAGGGACGUUAGUAGGGGUCGGUGGAGCCUAGUCUUCUCUCACCCUGGACUAAAGUGACUCCAGCUUCAGAACUGAACCAUACAGCACCACCACUCACU